RNAcentral lists this ribosomal RNA (1350 nucleotides) under metagenome. Its description in RNAcentral is "bacterial LSU rRNA". It matches the Rfam family "Bacterial large subunit ribosomal RNA", at positions 1564 to 2925 of the family's 2925-position model. The record is from RNAcentral.
UGAGUACGAGCUGCUACGGCAGCGAAGUGGGUGAUGUCAUGCUUCCAAGAAAAGCCCUAUACCCGUUAAGGCAUGAUGGCCUGUACCCGAAACCGACACAGGUGGGGUGGUAGAGAAUACCGAGGGGCGCGAGGUAACUCUCUCUAAGGAACUCGGCAAAAUGGCCCCGUAACUUCGGGAGAAGGGGUGCCACCGCAAGGUGGUCGCAGUGAAGAGGCCCAGGCGACUGUUUACCAAAAACACAGGUCUCCGCUAAGUCGCAAGACGAUGUAUGGGGGCUGACGCCUGCCCAGUGCCGGAAGGUUAAGGAAGCUGGUCAGCGUAAGCGAAGCUAGCGACUGAAGCCCCGGUGAACGGCGGCCGUAACAAUAACGGUCCUAAGGUAGCGAAAUUCCUUGUCGGGUAAGUUCCGACCCGCACGAAAGGCGUAACGAUCUGGGCGCUGUCUCGGAGAGAGGCUCGGCGAAAUAGAAUUGUCUGUGAAGAUGCGGACUACGUGCACCCGGACAGAAAGACCCUAUGAAGCUUUACUGUAGCUUGGUAUUGUGCUCGGGCUCGGAAUGCGCAGGAUAGGUGGGAGGCUAUGAACCAUUGCUUGUGGGUGAUGGUGAGCCACUGGUGAGAUACCACUCUUUCCGAGCUAGAGUUCUAACAGCCACCCGUUAUCCGGGGGCUGGACAGUAUCAGGUGGGCAGUUUGACUGGGGCGGUCGCCUCCUAAAAGGUAACGGAGGCGCGCAAAGGUUUGCUCAGGCUGGUUGGAAAUCAGCCGACGAGUGUAAAAGCAGAAGCAAGCUUGACUGUGAGACCUACAAGUCGAACAGGGAGGAAACUCGGCUUUAGUGAUCCGACGGUUCUGCGUGGAAGGGCCGUCGCUCAACGGAUAAAAGUUACUCUAAGGAUAACAGGCUGAUCUCCCCCAAGAGUUCACAUCGACGGGGAGGUUUGGCACCUCGAUGUCGGCUCAUCGCAACCUGGGGCUGAAGUCGGUCCCAAGGGUUGGGCUGUUCGCCCAUUAAAGCGGUACGCGAGCUGGGUUCAGAACGUCGUGAGACAGUUCGGUCCAUAUCCGGUGCAUGCGCAGGAAUAUUGAGAGGAUUUCUCCCUAGUACGAGAGGACCGGGAGGAACGCACCUCUGGUGUACCAGUUAUCGUGCCAACGGUAAACGCUGGGUAGCCAUGUGCGGAGAGGAUAACCGCUGAAAGCAUCUAAGUGGGAAGCCCACCUCAAGAUGAGUAUUCCCAUGGGGUAACCCAGUAAGGUCACGGGAAGAACACCCGUUGAUAGGCUCUACGUGGAAGCGCAGUAAUGUGUGAAGCGGAGGAGUACUAAUAGACCGAGGGCUUGACC